UGAAUGUUAUGAAGGCCCAUGGC
This 23-nucleotide microRNA is filed under the name Panagrellus redivivus. RNAcentral's name for it is "prd-miR-7939i-3p". The record is from miRBase by way of RNAcentral. Lineage: Eukaryota; Metazoa; Nematoda; Chromadorea; Rhabditida; Panagrolaimidae.